This 391-nucleotide ribosomal RNA is filed under the name uncultured Oscillospiraceae bacterium. RNAcentral's name for it is "bacterial SSU rRNA". It matches the Rfam family "Bacterial small subunit ribosomal RNA", at positions 355 to 760 of the family's 1533-position model. The record is from RNAcentral. Lineage: Bacteria; Bacillati; Bacillota; Clostridia; Eubacteriales; Oscillospiraceae.
UGGGGAAUAUUGGGCAAUGGGGGAAACCCUGACCCAGCAACGCCGCGUGAAGGAAGAAGGCUUUCGGGUUGUAAACUUCUUUUACCAGGGACGAAGAAAGUGACGGUACCUGGAGAAAAAGCCACGGCUAACUACGUGCCAGCAGCCGCGGUAAUACGUAGGUGGCAAGCGUUGUCCGGAUUUACUGGGUGUAAAGGGCGUGUAGGCGGGGCUGCAAGUCAGAAGUGAAAUCUAUGGGCUUAACCCAUAAACUGCUUUUGAAACUGUAGCUCUUGGGUAUCGGAGAGGCAGGCGGAAUUCCUAGUGUAGCGGUGAAAUGCGUAGAUAUUAGGAGGAACACCAGUGGCGAAGGCGGCCUGCUGGACGACAACUGACGCUGAGGCGCGAAAGC